CCAAUAGCGUAUAUUAAAGUUGUUGCAGUUAAAAAGCUCGUAGUUGAAUUUCAGGGUUUGUCUAUCGGUCGGGCUUUACUGUCCGCACUGAUUUGAUGGAUCCUUACCUUCUGAAUAACCAUCAUGCCAUUAAUUUGGUGCGUUGGGGAAUCAGAGCUAUUACCUUGAAAAAAUUAGAGUGCUUAAAGCAGGCCAGUGCUUGAAUAGAUUAGCAUGGAAUAAUGAAAUAGGACGGCAUGGUUCUAUUUUGUUGGUUUCUAGGAUCACCGUAAUGAUUAAAAGGGAUAGUUGGGGGCAUUAGUAUUCAAAUGUCAGAGGUGAAAUUCAUGGAUUUAUUGAAGACUAACUACUGCGAAAGCAUUUGCCAAGGAUGUUUUCAUUAAUCAAGAACGAAAGUUAGGGGAUCGAAGACGAUCAGAUACCGUCGUAGUCUUAACCAUAAACUAUGCCGACUAGGGAUCGGACGAAGUUAAUUUUUAAAUGACUCGUUCGGCGCCUUACG
This 502-nucleotide ribosomal RNA is filed under the name uncultured Glomeromycotina. RNAcentral describes it as "partial small subunit ribosomal RNA". It matches the Rfam family "Eukaryotic small subunit ribosomal RNA", at positions 591 to 1092 of the family's 1831-position model. The record is from RNAcentral. Lineage: Eukaryota; Fungi; Glomeromycota.